Molecule: signal recognition particle RNA, 299 nt
Filed under: Aotus nancymaae (Ma's night monkey)
Lineage: Eukaryota; Metazoa; Chordata; Mammalia; Primates; Aotidae
Description: Metazoan signal recognition particle RNA (ENSANAG00000000350.1)
Rfam family: Metazoan signal recognition particle RNA
About the family: The signal recognition particle (SRP) is a universally conserved ribonucleoprotein. It is involved in the co-translational targeting of proteins to membranes.
Source: RNAcentral
GCCAGGUGUGGUGGCACGUGCCUGUAGUCCCAGCUACUUGGGAGGCUGAGGUGGGAGGAUCGCUUGAGCCCAGGAAUUCUGGGCUGUAGUGCGCUACACCGAUCGGGUGUGCGCACUAAGUUCAGCAUCAAUAUGGUGACCUCCCAGGAGCAGGGGACCACCAGGUUGCCUAAGGAGGGGUAAACUGGCCCAGGUUGGAAAUGGAGCAGGUCAAAACUCCCAUGCUGAUCAGUAGUGGGAUCACGCCUGUGAAUAGCCGCUGCACUCCAGCCUGGGCAACAUAGUGAGACUCCGUCUCA